UGUUGGUGGGGUAUGGCCUACCAAGGCGACGACGGGUAGCCGGCCUGAGAGGGCGACCGGCCACACUGGGACUGAGACACGGCCCAGACUCCUACGGGAGGCAGCAGUGGGGAAUAUUGCACAAUGGGCGAAAGCCUGAUGCAGCGACGCCGCGUGAGGGAUGACGGCCUUCGGGUUGUAAACCUCUUUCAGCAGGGAAGAAGCGAAAGUGACGGUACCUGCAGAAGAAGCGCCGGCUAACUACGUGCCAGCAGCCGCGGUAAUACGUAGGGCGCAAGCGUUGUCCGGAAUUAUUGGGCGUAAAGAGCUCGUAGGCGGCUUGUCACGUCGGAUGUGAAAGCCCGGGGCUUAACCCCGGGUCUGCAUUCGAUACGGGCUAGCUAGAGUGUGGUAGGGGGAGAUCGGAAUUCCUGGUGUAGCGGUGAAAUGCGCAGAUAUCAGGAGGAACACCGGUGGCGAAGGCGGAUCUCUGGGCCAUUACUGACGCUGAGGAGCGAAAGCGUGGGGAGCGAACAGGAUUAGAUACCCUGGUAGUCCACGCCGUAAACGUUGGGAACUA
RNAcentral lists this ribosomal RNA (559 nucleotides) under uncultured Streptomyces sp. Its description in RNAcentral is "bacterial SSU rRNA". It matches the Rfam family "Bacterial small subunit ribosomal RNA", at positions 247 to 818 of the family's 1533-position model. The record is from RNAcentral. Lineage: Bacteria; Bacillati; Actinomycetota; Actinomycetes; Kitasatosporales; Streptomycetaceae.